GAAAAUGUGACUGAAGCAGAUACUGGAGCCCAGGCCAGCAGGGGCUUGAAACUAUAGAGCAAGGAAGGCAACUUCAGAUUCAGAAGACAGCUUGCUCACCCUGUCAGCUGCUGGAAGCAUGUGGGAGAGGCCUUCCGGAGGCCAGGCCCACCUUUGUUGCCUAAGAGGACAAAUAAAUUGGAAAGAACUAACCGUAAGUGUACUUGGACCGCAAAGAACCUCAAGGUUGGCAUGGGCUGGAGAAGUCAGUGAAAGCUUUGUUCACUGAUGACAGAGACAUUUGAGCACCUCCUAAAUGCUAGGCACUGUGCUACAGGUUCCGAGUAUCAAAAUCAACAUGGUGCCUGCUCUUGGGAAGCUUCUAGUGAAGUAGCUUUGAAAGAAAAUAAUUUCUAACCAUCAACUGCGAUAAGAAUCAGGAAGGAAAGUAACAGGGUGCUACGAAAGACGGGAACGGAUUCUGAUUUGGGGAGACGUCAGGGAUGACCUCCCAGAGGAAGCAGCCUUGAAGCUGAAACCUGUAGGAAAAUCGGGGUUAGCUACAUGCGGGCUGUGGGGAGAGUCCCCCAGGCUGAAGGUACAGCAGUGCAAGGCGUUGAGGAGUGGAAAAGGCUGGCGUGUUCAGAAACUGAGCACCUGUGUCUGGGGCACGGUGAGGAAGGAGUGAUGAGGUCAGAGAGGCCUUGGAAGCCAUGGUCAAGAUUUGGGAUUUUAUCUUAAGAAACUGGAUGCCACCGAAGGGUAUUAAGCAAGGACAAAAAACCAAACACCGCAUGUUCUCACUCACAGGUGAGAACUGAACAAUGAGAAC
This is a long non-coding RNA of Homo sapiens (human), 811 nucleotides long. RefSeq lists it as uncharacterized. The transcript is spliced from 3 exons. The record is from RefSeq and is a predicted model, not a curated record. NCBI's taxonomy places the organism in Eukaryota, Metazoa, Chordata, Mammalia, Primates, Hominidae.